GAUGAAGAACGUAGCGAAAUACGAUACGUAAUGUGAAUUGCAGAAUUCAGUGAAUCAUCGAGUCUUUGAACGCACAUUGCGCCCCCUGGUAUUCCGGGGGGCAUGCCUGUCCGAGCGUCAUUGCUGCCCUCAAGCACGGCUUGUGUGUUGGGCCUCCGCCCCCCGGCUCCCGGGGGGCGGGCCCGAAAGGCAGCGGCGGCACCGCGUCCGGUCCUCGAGCGUAUGGGGCUUCGUCACCCGCUCCGUAGGCCCGGCCGGCGCCCGCCGGCGACCCCCCUCAAUCUUUCCAGGUUGACCUCGGAUCAGGUAGGGAUACCCGCUGAACUUAAGCAUAUCAAUAAGCGGAGGA
RNAcentral lists this unclassified non-coding RNA (349 nucleotides) under soil metagenome. RNAcentral's name for it is "partial contains 5.8S ribosomal RNA, internal transcribed spacer 2, and large subunit ribosomal RNA". The stretch from base 1 to 120 matches the Rfam family "5.8S ribosomal RNA", at positions 35 to 154 of the family's 154-position model. The record is from RNAcentral.